RNAcentral lists this ribosomal RNA (560 nucleotides) under uncultured bacterium. RNAcentral's name for it is "bacterial SSU rRNA". It matches the Rfam family "Bacterial small subunit ribosomal RNA", at positions 119 to 674 of the family's 1533-position model. The record is from RNAcentral.
AGGAAUCUGCCUAUUAGUGGGGGACAACAUCUCGAAAGGGAUGCUAAUACCGCAUACGUCCUACGGGAGAAAGCAGGGGACCUUCGGGCCUUGCGCUAAUAGAUGAGCCUAAGUCGGAUUAGCCAGUUGGUGGGGUAAAGGCCUACCAAGGCGACGAUCUGUAGCGGGUCUGAGAGGAUGAUCCGCCACACUGGGACUGAGACACGGCCCAGACUCCUACGGGAGGCAGCAGUGGGGAAUAUUGGACAAUGGGGGGAACCCUGAUCCAGCCAUGCCGCGUGUGUGAAGAAGGCCUUUUGGUUGUAAAGCACUUUAAGCGAGGAGGAGGCUACCGAGAUUAAUACUCUUGGAUAGUGGACGUUACUCGCAGAAUAAGCACCGGCUAACUCUGUGCCAGCAGCCGCGGUAAUACAGAGGGUGCAAGCGCUAAUCGGAUUUACUGGGCGUAAAGCGCGCGUAGGUGGCCAAUUAAGUCAAAUGUGAAAUCCCCGAGCUUAACUUGGGAAUUGCAUUCGAUACUGGUUGGCUAGAGUAUGGGAGAGGAUGGUAGAAUUCCAGGU